GACCUGGCCGGGCGGUCCUCCUCACGGUGCGUACUGUCUGGCCGGGCCUUACCUCUUGGUGAGCCGGCAUGCCCUUUACUGGGUGUGUCGGGGAACCAGGACUUUUACCUUGAGAAAAUUAGAGUGUUCAAAGCAGGCCUAUGCCUGAAUACGUUAGCAUGGAAUAAUGAAAUAGGACGU
Molecule: ribosomal RNA, 180 nt
Filed under: uncultured Glomeromycotina
Lineage: Eukaryota; Fungi; Glomeromycota
Description: partial small subunit ribosomal RNA
Source: RNAcentral